AGAAAACAAAAAUCGAGCUAGGGGUAAAGGCAUGUUCAAAUGGUAUCGAGAAAUGUAGUUUAAAUAUUGGAAAUUUUUGUGAUAGCUUUAAAAUAUAUUUUUUAUCUUUAAUUAUAAAAUUCAAAGCUUCAAAAAUAGAAUAGAUCAAGCAGAUCUAUAAAAAAUAGUGUAGAUCAAGCAGAUCUAUAAAAACAUGAAAACCUUGAAAAUUGACGGUUUAAAAAAGCGUUACAAGAUGCACUAUUUUCAAAACUUGAAAUCUAUGUUUUUCUCAUGUCCAUGCAUCACGAGGUCGAGAUGAUCAAUUUGAGGAUAUUUAGGUGUCAAAACAACCUCUUCUACUAAAAUUUUUGAGGUGGGCUCUAAUUUUAUUGUU
This 376-nucleotide long non-coding RNA is filed under the name Amborella trichopoda. RNAcentral's name for it is "long non-coding RNA (ATRI_LNC002431)". The record is from RNAcentral. Lineage: Eukaryota; Viridiplantae; Streptophyta; Magnoliopsida; Amborellales; Amborellaceae.